This 468-nucleotide ribosomal RNA is filed under the name uncultured bacterium. Its description in RNAcentral is "partial 16S ribosomal RNA". It matches the Rfam family "Bacterial small subunit ribosomal RNA", at positions 28 to 507 of the family's 1533-position model. The record is from RNAcentral.
GACGAACGCUGGCGGCGUGCUUAACACAUGCAAGUCGAACGGAAAGGCCCUGCUUUUGUGGGGUGCUCGAGUGGCGAACGGGUGAGUAACACGUGAGUAACCUGCCCUUGACUUUGGGAUAACUUCAGGAAACUGGGGCUAAUACCGGAUAGGAGCUCCUGCUGCAUGGGGGGGGUUGGAAAGUUUCGGCGGUUGGGGAUGGACUCGCGGCUUAUCAGCUUGUUGGUGGGGUAGUGUCUUACCAAGGCAUUGACGGGUAGCCGGCCUGGGAGGGUGACCGGCCACAUUGGGACUGAGAUACGGCCCAGACGCCUACGGGAGGCAGCAGGGGGGAAUAUUGCACAAUGGGCGGAAGCCUGAUGCAGCAACGCCGCGUGCGGAAUGACGGCCUUCGGGUUGUAAACCGCUUUCGCCUGUGACGAAGCGUGAGUGACGGUAAUGGGUAAAGAAGCACCGGCUAACUACGUG